GCGGGUGUGGCGGAAUUGGUAGACGCACCAGAUUUAGGUUCUGGCGCCUAGGCGUGGGGGUUCGAGUCCCUUCACCCGCACCA
This 83-nucleotide transfer RNA is filed under the name Pseudodonghicola sp. RNAcentral's name for it is "tRNA-Leu". It matches the Rfam family "tRNA". Rfam says of the family: Transfer RNA (tRNA) molecules are approximately 80 nucleotides in length. Their secondary structure includes four short double-helical elements and three loops (D, anti-codon, and T loops). RNAcentral also lists the same sequence under 5 other names. Lineage: Bacteria; Pseudomonadati; Pseudomonadota; Alphaproteobacteria; Rhodobacterales; Paracoccaceae. The record is from RNAcentral.